Molecule: long non-coding RNA, 578 nt
Organism: Bactrocera tryoni
Lineage: Eukaryota; Metazoa; Arthropoda; Insecta; Diptera; Tephritidae
Exons: 4
Source: RefSeq, a predicted model, not a curated record
UUAUCAUGUUAAAUUAUUUAAAAAGAAUUUUGAUACUGCCAAAUUUUUAUUUCUCAAUCAGAUGGAUUCACCAGCGCUAUUCGAUGAAAUUUAUUUGGAGGAAUGCCCAAAAACAUCUUCAAAUCCCGUAAAAGAUAAUUCAUAAAAGGGAAGAAAUGGCCCAACAAUAUACUGUCCAUGAUUGGAAGGCUCUAAUUCGCAAAAUUCACCAUUUAGUAUGCCGACUGGCUGGCGAAGAAAUCGAUAAUGUGCGAACUAAAAUUACUUCCACCCUACAUACAUAUGUACAUAGAUAACACCGGCUGCAGCUUUGGAAAUGAAUGAGAAACUAAAGUGCGAGGAAUUUGCCACAGCAACGAAAUGCAGUUCAGAGAGCGUAUGUGAUGUGUUGCGACAUCUGUACACUGACGAAUUCCUCAUUUUGUGUAACUGGUCUACUGGUGUUCAACAUAUUAUAUGAUUCUUUCAUCACUUGUGAACUGGCAAAUUUCGAAAAACAAAUUCGAAAAUCCAUCGAAAUGGGAAUUAAUUUGAAAAUCUAAUUUUUUUUAUGAAUUAAGUUUUGGAUUAGAAUAUUA